This 253-nucleotide ribosomal RNA is filed under the name uncultured bacterium. RNAcentral describes it as "partial 16S ribosomal RNA". It matches the Rfam family "Bacterial small subunit ribosomal RNA", at positions 524 to 776 of the family's 1533-position model. The record is from RNAcentral.
UACGUAGGGUGCAAGCGUUAAUCGGAAUUACUGGGCGUAAAGCGUGCGCAGGCGGUGAUGUAAGACAGGUGUGAAAUCCCCGGGCUUAACCUGGGAACUGCAUUUGUGACUGCAUCGCUGGAGUGCGGCAGAGGGGGAUGGAAUUCCGCGUGUAGCAGUGAAAUGCGUAGAUAUCGGGAGGAACACCUGCGGUGUAGACGGCUUACUGGACCGUGACUGACGCUGAGGCACGAAAGCGUGGGUAGCAAACAGG